GUGAAUCAUCAAAUUUUUGAACGCAAAUUGCACUCUCUUCGGAGAGGAUGGCUGUUUGUGUGUCAGCCUAAAAAAAAAUCUACAUAUCAGCUGUGUCGCGGUUACAGUGGUCGGAAAUUGGGUCAUCUUAGAUCUGUGGUUUUGAAGCGUCUCAAAAUUUUCGUUACGAUUCCACUCACGAUUGGUAAAUGUACUGCUUAUACGUUUAAGGUAUCGAUCUUGAUUAUACGUGGCCGUUCAGUCGGAU
Molecule: unclassified non-coding RNA, 247 nt
Filed under: Glomus sp.
Lineage: Eukaryota; Fungi; Glomeromycota; Glomeromycetes; Glomerales; Glomeraceae
Description: partial contains 5.8S ribosomal RNA and internal transcribed spacer 2
Source: RNAcentral